GCCAGCGUAGCUCAGUGGUAGAGCAACACUUUUGUAAAGUGAAGGUCGUGAGUUCGAAUCUCACCGCUGGCC
RNAcentral lists this transfer RNA (72 nucleotides) under Candidatus Yanofskyibacteriota bacterium. RNAcentral's name for it is "tRNA-Thr". It matches the Rfam family "tRNA". From Rfam's summary of the family: Transfer RNA (tRNA) molecules are approximately 80 nucleotides in length. The record is from RNAcentral. Lineage: Bacteria; Candidatus Yanofskyibacteriota.